GGCCGCAGAAUCUUGACUGUGCAAAGGUAGCAUAAUCACUAGUUUUUUAAUUGGAAGCUUGAAUGAAUGGUUGGACGAGACACUAGCUGUUUCACAUUAAGUAUUAGAAUUUUAUUUUUUGGUAAAAAAGCCUAAAUUUUUUUAAAAGACGAGAAGACCCUAUAGAUCUUUAUAGUUAUUAUAUUAUUUAUUGUUAGGAUUUUUAUUUAUUUAUGUGUAUGAUACUAUUUUGCUGGGGUGGCAGGUGAAUUUAAUUAACUUUUUUUAUUUUAUUUACAUUUAUUUAUGAUAGUAUUGAUCCUCUUUGAGAUUAAAAAUUUAAGUUACCUUAGGGAUAACAGCGUAAUCUUUUCGGAGAGUUCAUAUCGAUGGGAAGGAUUGCGACCUCGAUGUUGGAUUAA
RNAcentral lists this ribosomal RNA (401 nucleotides) under Antiphrisson mongolicus. RNAcentral's name for it is "partial large subunit ribosomal RNA". It matches the Rfam family "Bacterial large subunit ribosomal RNA", at positions 1929 to 2540 of the family's 2925-position model. The record is from RNAcentral. Lineage: Eukaryota; Metazoa; Arthropoda; Insecta; Diptera; Asilidae.